Molecule: ribosomal RNA, 465 nt
Filed under: uncultured bacterium
Lineage: Bacteria
Description: partial 16S ribosomal RNA
Rfam family: Bacterial small subunit ribosomal RNA
Source: RNAcentral
GACGAACGCUGGCGGCGUGCUUAACACAUGCAAGUCGAACGGAAAGGCCCCUUUGGGGGUACUCGAGUGGCGAACGGGUGAGUAACACGUGAGUAACCUGCCCUUGACUUCGGGAUAACUUCAGGAAACUGGGGCUAAUACCGGAUAGGAAUCCUUGCUGCAUGGUGGGGGUUGGAAAGCUUCGGCGGUUUUGGAUGGACUCGCGGCUUAUCAGCUUGUUGGUGGGGUAGUGGCUUACCAAGGCUUUGACGGGUAGCCGGCCUGAGAGGGCGACCGGCCACAUUGGGACUGAGAUACGGCCCAGACGCCGACGGGAGGCAGAAGUGGGGAAGAUUGCACAAGGGGCGGAAGCCUGAUGCAGCAACGCCGCGUGCGGGAGGACGGCCUUCGGGUUGGAAACCGCGUUCAGCAGGGGCGAAGCUUGUGGUGACGGUACCUGCAGAAGAAGCACCGGCUAACUACGUG